RNAcentral lists this non-coding RNA (29 nucleotides) under Mus musculus (house mouse). The record is from RNAcentral. Lineage: Eukaryota; Metazoa; Chordata; Mammalia; Rodentia; Muridae.
CGGGUGUGAGGCAGGACUGUUACAUAUUC